Molecule: small nucleolar RNA, 84 nt
Organism: Fonsecaea erecta
Lineage: Eukaryota; Fungi; Ascomycota; Eurotiomycetes; Chaetothyriales; Herpotrichiellaceae
Source: Rfam
CGAUGAUGAAUUUUCUAGAUGACGAGUCUUAUCCAGUACUCUGAUGCAGAUAAACUCAAACAACCAUUCAUGCAUUUCCUGACC